AGAGUUUGAUCAUGGCUCAGAACGAACGCUGGCGGCAGGCCUAACACAUGCAAGUCGAACGCUCCGCAAGGAGAGUGGCAGACGGGUGAGUAACACGUGGGAAUCUUCCUGUUGGUGGGGAAUAGCUCAGGGAAACUUGAGGUAAUACCGCAUAAGCCCGAAAGGGGAAAGAUUUAUCGCCGACAGAUGAGCCCGCGUCUGCUUAGCUAGUUGGUGAGGUAAUGGCUCACCAAGGCGACGAUCAGUAGCUGGUCUGAGAGGAUGACCAGCCACACUGGGACUGAGACACGGCCCAGACUCCUACGGGAGGCAGCAGUGGGGAAUAUUGGACAAUGGGCGCAAGCCUGAUCCAGCCAUGCCGCGUGAGUGACGAAGGUCUUCGGAUUGUAAAGCUCUUUUGCCAGGGACGAUAAUGACGGUACCUGAGAAUAG
This 432-nucleotide ribosomal RNA is filed under the name uncultured Hyphomicrobium sp. RNAcentral describes it as "bacterial SSU rRNA". It matches the Rfam family "Bacterial small subunit ribosomal RNA", at positions 8 to 488 of the family's 1533-position model. The record is from RNAcentral. Lineage: Bacteria; Pseudomonadati; Pseudomonadota; Alphaproteobacteria; Hyphomicrobiales; Hyphomicrobiaceae.